Molecule: ribosomal RNA, 459 nt
Filed under: uncultured bacterium
Lineage: Bacteria
Description: SSU rRNA
Rfam family: Bacterial small subunit ribosomal RNA
Source: RNAcentral
AGAACGAACGCUGGCGGCAUGCCUAACACAUGCAAGUCGAACGCGGGGAGCAAUCUCUGCGUGGCGCACGGGUGAGUAACGCGUGGGAACCUGCCCUCGAGUGGGGGAUAACCCGGCGAAAGCCGGGGUAAUACCGCAUACGUCCCGUCGCAAGACGGGAGAAAGAUUUAUCGCUCGAGGAGGGGCCCGCGUCGGAUUAGCUAGUUGGUGAGGUAACGGCUCACCAAGGCGAUGAUCCGUAGCUGGUCUGAGAGGAUGAUCAGCCACACUGGGACUGAGACACGGCCCAGACUCCUACGGGAGGCAGCAGUGGGGAAUAUUGGACAAUGGGCGCAAGCCUGAUCCAGCAAUGCCGCGUGAGUGAUGAAGGCCUUAGGGUUGUAAAGCUCUUUCGCACGCGACGAUGAUGACGGUAGCGUGAGAAGAAGCCCCGGCUAACUUCGUGCCAGCAGCCGCGGU